RNAcentral lists this ribosomal RNA (429 nucleotides) under Chloroflexota bacterium. Its description in RNAcentral is "Chloroflexi bacterium partial 16S ribosomal RNA". It matches the Rfam family "Bacterial small subunit ribosomal RNA", at positions 355 to 776 of the family's 1533-position model. Lineage: Bacteria; Bacillati; Chloroflexota. The record is from RNAcentral.
UGGGGAAUAUUGCACAAUGGGCGCAAGCCUGAUGCAGCCAUGCCGCGUGUAUGAAGAAGGCCUUCGGGUUGUAAAGCACUUUCAGCGGGGAGGAAGGCGAUAAGGUUAAUAACCUCAUCGAUUGACGUUACCCGCAGAAGAAGCACCGGCUAACUCCGUGCCAGCAGCCGCGGUAAUACGGAGGGUGCAAGCGUUAAUCGGAAUUACUGGGCGUAAAGCGCACGCAGGCGGUUGAUUGAGUCAGAUGUGAAAUCCCCGGGCUUAACCCGGGAAUUGCAUCUGAUACUGGUCAGCUAGAGUCUUGUAGAGGGGGGUAGAAUUCCAGGUGUAGCGGUGAAAUGCGUAGAGAUCUGGAGGAAUACCGGUGGCGAAGGCGGCCCCCUGGACGAAGACUGACGCUCAGGUGCGAAAGCGUGGGGAGCAAACAGG